Molecule: ribosomal RNA, 389 nt
Filed under: uncultured bacterium
Lineage: Bacteria
Description: bacterial SSU rRNA
Rfam family: Bacterial small subunit ribosomal RNA
Source: RNAcentral
AACGAACGCUGGCGGCGUGCCUAACACAUGCAAGUCGUGCGAGAAAGUUCCUUCGGGAGCGAGUAAAGCGGCGCACGGGUGAGUAACACGUAGGUAACCUGCCCCCCAGUCUGGAACAACUAGAGGAAACUCUAGCUAAUGCCGGAUGAGACCACGAUCCCUUCGGGGGUUGCGGCCAAAGAUGGCCUCUACUUGUAAGCUAUCGCUGAGGGAUGGGCCUGCGGGCCAUUAGCUUGUUGGUGAGGUAACGGCUCACCAAGGCUGUGAUGGCUAGCUGGUCUGAGAGGAUGACCAGCCACACUGGGACUGAGACACGGCCCAGACUCCUACGGGAGGCAGCAGUGGGAAUAUUGCGCAAUGGGCGAAAGCCUGACGCAGCGACGCCGCGU